GCUCAGAUUGAACGCUAGCGGCAUGCUUAACACAUGCAAGUCGAACGGCAGCGCAAAGGGGCUCGCUCCUUGGCGGCGAGUGGCGAACGGGUGAGUAACGCGUAGGAAUCUGCCUUGUAGUGGGGGACAACUCGGGGAAACUCGAGCUAAUACCACAUAAUCUCUACGGAGCAAAGUGGGGGAUCGAAAGACCUCACGCUAUAAGAUGAGCCUGCGUCGGAUUAGCUAGUUGGUGGGGUAAUAGCCUACCAAGGCAACGAUCCGUAGCUGGUCUGAGAGGACGACCAGCCACACUGGGACUGAGACACGGCCCAGACUCCUACGGGAGGCAGCAGU
Molecule: ribosomal RNA, 336 nt
Filed under: bacterium enrichment culture
Lineage: Bacteria
Description: bacterial SSU rRNA
Rfam family: Bacterial small subunit ribosomal RNA
Source: RNAcentral